CAAGAGAAGAUGGUUCAGUGUUGUCCUGAGCCACUCGUUUGUGGCUAAGCAGCCAUGGGAAACUAACAUACGUUCUGCCGCUCAGCAACCCCAUUUCUAGGACUUCAUCCUGCAGACACACCUGAGGCUCGGUCACACCCAGGCACGCUUCAUCCUUC
This is a long non-coding RNA of Bubalus bubalis (water buffalo), 158 nucleotides long. RefSeq lists it as uncharacterized. NCBI's taxonomy places the organism in Eukaryota, Metazoa, Chordata, Mammalia, Artiodactyla, Bovidae. The transcript has 2 exons. The record is from RefSeq and is a predicted model, not a curated record.